UGACUUAAGUUACAAGUGUGUGUGUGUGU
RNAcentral lists this non-coding RNA (29 nucleotides) under Mus musculus (house mouse). Lineage: Eukaryota; Metazoa; Chordata; Mammalia; Rodentia; Muridae. The record is from RNAcentral.